RNAcentral lists this long non-coding RNA (288 nucleotides) under Anas platyrhynchos platyrhynchos (common mallard). RNAcentral describes it as "lncRNA (ENSAPLG00000017603.1)". Lineage: Eukaryota; Metazoa; Chordata; Aves; Anseriformes; Anatidae. The record is from RNAcentral.
CAGGGGCGAGCGAGUCGCGAUCUCGGCUCAUUUUCUCUAAGCAAUACAAGUUCACGGACGCGCUACCUAGCCAGCCCUCUUCUCCCGUCAUGGACCUCCCAGGCUGCGCGCCACCCGCCCUCUGAGGAGGCUCCUUCGCCCCGCGCGGAGGAAGAGGAGGAGGAGGAGGAGGAGGCGGAGGAGGAGGAUAAGGAUAAGGGAGGAAGGCGCGGCCCCAGCCGCCGCCGCCCAGCCGCCGUCCCGCAGAGCGCUGGCCGCGGGGCGCCGCGGCGGCAGCAGGCGCGCAGC